CGGAGGAAGGUGGGGAGUGACGUCAAAUCAUCAUGCCCCUUAUGACCUGGGCUACACACGUGCUACAAUGGGCGGUACAAAGGGUCGCGAACCCGCGAGGGGGGAGGCCAAUCCCAAAAAAGCCGCUCUCAGUUCGGAUUGCAGGCUGCAACUCGCCUGCAUGAAGCCGGAAUCGCUAGUAAUCGCGGAUCAGCAUGCCGCGGUGAAUACGUUCCCGGGCCUU
RNAcentral lists this ribosomal RNA (223 nucleotides) under uncultured Anoxybacillus sp. Its description in RNAcentral is "partial 16S ribosomal RNA". It matches the Rfam family "Bacterial small subunit ribosomal RNA", at positions 1164 to 1382 of the family's 1533-position model. Lineage: Bacteria; Bacillati; Bacillota; Bacilli; Caryophanales; Anoxybacillaceae. The record is from RNAcentral.